UCCGGUAUGGUGUAAUGGCUAACAUUGUCGCCUUUCAUAUCAUGUGAAAUCAUCGCGACGGCUCGGGGUUCGAUCCCCCGUACCGGAG
Molecule: non-coding RNA, 88 nt
Organism: Ceratobasidium sp. 395
Lineage: Eukaryota; Fungi; Basidiomycota; Agaricomycetes; Cantharellales; Ceratobasidiaceae
Source: the annotation of a GenBank genome assembly